RNAcentral lists this ribosomal RNA (914 nucleotides) under uncultured bacterium. Its description in RNAcentral is "bacterial SSU rRNA". It matches the Rfam family "Bacterial small subunit ribosomal RNA", at positions 8 to 916 of the family's 1533-position model. The record is from RNAcentral.
AGAGUUUGAUCCUGGCUCAGAUUGAACGCUGGCGGCAGGCCUAACACAUGCAAGUCGAGCGGAUGAGGGGUGCUUGCACCCCGAUUCAGCGGCGGACGGGUGAGUAAUGCCUAGGAAUCUGCCCGAUAGUGGGGGACAACGUUUCGAAAGGAACGCCAAUACCGCAUACGUCCUACGGGAGAAAGUGGGGGCUCUUCGGACCUCACGCUAUCGGAUGAGCCUAGGUCGGAUUAGCUAGUUGGUGGGGUAAAGGCCCACCAAGGCGACGAUCCGUAACUGGUCUGAGAGGAUGAUCAGUCACACUGGAACUGAGACACGGUCCAGACUCCUACGGGAGGCAGCAGUGGGGAAUAUUGGACAAUGGGCGAAAGCCUGAUCCAGCCAUGCCGCGUGUGUGAAGAAGGUCUUCGGAUUGUAAAGCACUUUAAGUCGGGAGGAAGGGCUGUAGGUUAAUACCCUGCGGUUUUGACGUUACCGACAGAAUAAGCACCGGCUAACUUCGUGCCAGCAGCCGCGGUAAUACGAAGGGUGCAAGCGUUAAUCGGAAUUACUGGGCGUAAAGCGCGCGUAGGUGGUUUGGUAAGUUGGAUGUGAAAGCCCCGGGCUCAACCUGGGAACUGCAUCCAAAACUGCCUGACUAGAGUACGGUAGAGGGUGGUGGAAUUUCCUGUGUAGCGGUGAAAUGCGUAGAUAUAGGAAGGAACACCAGUGGCGAAGGCGACCACCUGGACUGAUACUGACACUGAGGUGCGAAAGCGUGGGGAGCAAACAGGAUUAGAUACCCUGGUAGUCCACGCCGUAAACGAUGUCGACUAGCCGUUGGGCUCCUUGAGAGCUUAGUGGCGCAGCUAACGCAUUAAGUCGACUGCCUGGGGGAGUACGGCCGCAAGGUUAAAACUUAAAUGAAUUGACGG